CGGUGACGACUUGCGGGCAGAUGAGAUGGACGUGGGUGUCCACCGCCCCGGCGGUGAGGAUCCGGCCGUUGCCGGCGAUCACCUCGGUGGCCGGGCCGAUGACCAGGUCGGGGUGCACCCCCGGCAUGGUGUCCGGGUUCCCGGCCCGGCCGAUCGCCACGAUCCGGCCGUCGCGCAGCCCCACGUCGGCCUUGACGACGCCCCAGUGGUCGAGGAUCACCGCCCCGGUGAUCACGGUGUCCAGGGCGCCCUCGGCGCGGGUGGCGCGGGACUGGCCCAUCGACUCG
Molecule: small RNA, 287 nt
Filed under: Micromonospora rosaria
Lineage: Bacteria; Bacillati; Actinomycetota; Actinomycetes; Micromonosporales; Micromonosporaceae
Description: 5' ureB small RNA
Rfam family: 5' ureB small RNA
Source: Rfam by way of RNAcentral